AGUGGAUCCUCUUGUUCUAACUGUCCUCUAUGCUCUAGUACUAAGGAAAGGAGUGAAGAAUAUUGCAAGGUGGAAAACACUCCCUCGACAAAGUUUUACAUUCUCUUCCAUGCCUACUCAGACUUUUCAAAUCUCAAAAUUGCCAUCAAAGGGGCAAAUCUAAAAAACGUUGUUGGUCCAGAAAAGUUGUAAACCAUUUAACGUGUUUUUUUAUAUUUUUUUCAAUAGGUUUUCUCUUUAUACUACUUUCUGUAAAUUAUGAAGAAAAUAAAAGAUGAAUGAAUCUGUAUCA
This is a long non-coding RNA of Eurytemora carolleeae, 292 nucleotides long. RefSeq lists it as uncharacterized. NCBI's taxonomy places the organism in Eukaryota, Metazoa, Arthropoda, Copepoda, Calanoida, Temoridae. The record is from RefSeq and is a predicted model, not a curated record. The transcript is spliced from 2 exons.